GGCUCAGUGGUCUAGUGGUAUGAUUCUCGCUUUGGGGCGCGAGAGGCCACGAGUUCGAUUCCCGUCUGAGCCC
This 73-nucleotide transfer RNA is filed under the name Nematostella vectensis (starlet sea anemone). It matches the Rfam family "tRNA". Rfam says of the family: Transfer RNA (tRNA) molecules are approximately 80 nucleotides in length. Lineage: Eukaryota; Metazoa; Cnidaria; Anthozoa; Actiniaria; Edwardsiidae. The record is from Rfam by way of RNAcentral.